RNAcentral lists this long non-coding RNA (1380 nucleotides) under Equus caballus (horse). RNAcentral's name for it is "lncRNA (ENSECAG00000048182.1)". The record is from RNAcentral. Lineage: Eukaryota; Metazoa; Chordata; Mammalia; Perissodactyla; Equidae.
UCUUGUACUCCCCUGUCUGCUCUCUGCCUCUCUCUACCUUGCUCCGUGCUUGGACGAGGAUGGGGCUGACUCUCCAGACUUUAUCACUCAGGCGCCAUGGGCUCCAGCUCCUAGUUGAUUUCAACAAGGGGAAGUGCCAACAAGAGUUUGGAAGGCAAAAGGAGAGUGAGACUAAGCCUUUUUCAACAAGACCAGACCAUGGAGGAGUGGCAAAGAACCCAGAGCCGUGGCUUUAGAUGGAAAUUUCUAGAAUGGAGUGUUAUAUAAAUUUUUUCCUACACACUGACUGGCUUGAAGAUAAUUACUUUAGAAACAUUGGUCCUUUAAAUAUUCCUCUGCAUGUCUGAUGUUGCCGUUUCCCUGAGAAGCCCAUUUGUGUAUAAGCCUGAGCGAAUUUACUCUGUAAGUGAGUUAUACUAGAUUGUCCGAGAACACAGUGAAGUCUAUUGUCUAACUCCACAUGAAGCCCCUUAAAAGAUUUGUGUUCAUCUUAGGGCAUAUCAAGUAGUGAGUGUUCUCAUAAGAGAGUGUCCUGUUUUCUCGUGGUGAGGUAACAAAACAGAUGGCUCUGGCUUGCCGUUCUCUCACCUAAACUGUCAGUGAGCCAGCCAUCUUGUCUCAUUUCCACAAACAAACAUCCCAGUCCUUGCAAAAUGUGGAAGAACAGAGGAUCUUCAUUCAGCAAUGGCUUUAGCUGUGAAAAGAUGAAAGCAUUUAGCCAUCUCUCAAAUAAGAGUUACCCAGGAGGUGCUGUAUUUUCAUAUAGGCAAAUCUAAGUGAUUUAGGUUUCAAAUAACCCUGUCAUGAAAAAGGGAAUGCAGUCUAUUUGAAUAUCUUGAAAUAAAAUUUUCAAGUAUAGUUUUGUGUGGACAAGAAUUGGGUGAAUGGAAGAGUAUGGAGUCAUAAGCAUCCGACUUCUGUUUUAACCAGGACCUUCAAUGAAGUGGAAUUUCCCUCUUUUUUUUUCGGAGAGGGGGUGAUGCUUUAAGAACUUGUAUCAAGGAUCUUAAAACAAUUUCCAGGAUGUUUCUUGGGAUUGAGCUGCCUUCUAGAUAUCUAAUUCUGUAGAAAUAGAACUGAUGGUCAAAAAGAUAACCCUAAGUAACCAGAAAAUCCCCAAUUAUCAAAAGAAAGAAUCAACUGUGGUCAUUCUACUACUGUACUGAAUAAGAUACGAAAGAGGAGUAAUGCAUUUAUAAACACUUUUUCAGUGAAAUUUUUCAAAAAUUUUGGUUAUUGUUUAAUUAAUUACACAAUUCAGUUGAUUUGGGUCAUGAACUUUCUGGGUAAUUGAGACUUUAUAAGGAUUGGUCUAUAAAGUUGUGUGUAGACAUGCCCUCUUUAAGAAUUCCUAGAAAUGUUUAUUUGACAUUAAAGUCC